Molecule: ribosomal RNA, 429 nt
Filed under: uncultured bacterium
Lineage: Bacteria
Description: bacterial SSU rRNA
Rfam family: Bacterial small subunit ribosomal RNA
Source: RNAcentral
UGGGGAAUCUUGGACAAUGGGGGCAACCCUGAUCCAGCGAUGCCGCGUGAGUGAAGAAGGCCUUCGGGUCGUAAAGCUCUUUAGGUCGGGAGGAAGGUUAGUCGUUUAAGAGAUAGCUAAUUUGACUGUACCGACAGAAUAAGCACCGGCAAACUCUGUGCCAGCAGCCGCGGUAAUACAGAGGGUGCGAGCGUUAAUCGGAUUUACUGGGCGUAAAGGGUGCGUAGGCGGUUAUAAGAGUGUGAUGUGAAAGCCCCGGGCUUAACCUGGGAAGUGCAUCGCAAACGAUAUAACUGGAGUAGUUGAGAGGGUGAUGGAAUUUCCGGUGUAGCGGUGAAAUGCGUAGAGAUCGGAAGGAACGUCAAUGGCGAAGGCAGUCACCUGGCAACAUACUGACGCUGAGGCACGAAAGCGUGGGUAGCGAACAGG